CCUAAUACAUGCAAGUCGAGCGAACAGAUGAGAAGCUUGCUUCUCUGAUGUUAGCGGCGGACGGGUGAGUAACACGUGGGUAACCUACCUAUAAGACUGGGAUAACUCCGGGAAACCGGGGCUAAUACCGGAUAAUAUUUUGAACCGCAUGGUUCAAUAGUGAAAGACGGUUUCGGCUGUCACUUAUAGAUGGACCCGCGCCGUAUUAGCUAGUUGGUAAGGUAACGGCUUACCAAGGCGACGAUACGUAGCCGACCUGAGAGGGUGAUCGGCCACACUGGAACUGAGACACGGUCCAGACUCCUACGGGAGGCAGCAGUAGGGAAUCUUCCGCAAUGGGCGAAAGCCUGACGGAGCAACGCCGCGUGAGUGAUGAAGGUCUUCGGAUCGUAAAACUCUGUUGUUAGGGAAGAACAAAUUUGUUAGUAACUGAACAAGUCUUGACGGUACCUAACCAGAAAGCCACGGCUAACUACGUGCCAGCAGCCGCGGUAAUACGUAGGUGGCAAGCGUUAUCCGGAAUUAUUGGGCGUAAAGCGCGCGUAGGCGGUUUCUUAAGUCUGAUGUGAAAGCCCACGGCUCAACCGUGGAGGGUCAUUGGAAACUGGGAAACUUGAGUGCAGAAGAGGAGAGUGGAAUUCCAUGUGUAGCGGUGAAAUGCGCAGAGAUAUGGAGGAACACCAGUGGCGAAGGCGGCUCUCUGGUCUGUAACUGACGCUGAUGUGCGAAAGCGUGGGGAUCAAACAGGAUUAGAUACCCUGGUAGUCCACGCCGUAAACGAUGAGUGCUAAGUGUUAGGGGGUUUCCGCCCCUUAGUGCUGCAGCUAACGCAUUAAGCACUCCGCCUGGGGAGUACGACCGCAAGGUUGAAACUCAAAGGAAUUGACGGGGACCCGCACAAGCGGUGGAGCAUGUGGUUUAAUUCGAAGCAACGCGAAGAACCUUACCAAAUCUUGACAUCCUUUGACCGCUCUAGAGAUAGAGUCUUCCCCUUCGGGGGACAAAGUGACAGGUGGUGCAUGGUUGUCGUCAGCUCGUGUCGUGAGAUGUUGGGUUAAGUCCCGCAACGAGCGCAACCCUUAAGCUUAGUUGCCAUCAUUAAGUUGGGCACUCUAGGUUGACUGCCGGUGACAAACCGGAGGAAGGUGGGGAUGACGUCAAAUCAUCAUGCCCCUUAUGAUUUGGGCUACACACGUGCUACAAUGGAUAAUACAAAGGGCAGCGAAUCCGCGAGGCCAAGCAAAUCCCAUAAAAUUAUUCUCAGUUCGGAUUGUAGUCUGCAACUCGACUACAUGAAGCUGGAAUCGCUAGUAAUCGUAGAUCAGCAUGCUACGGUGAAUACGUUCCCGGGUCUUGUACACACCGCCCGUCACACCACGAGAGUUUGUAACACCCGAAGCCGGUGGAGUAACCUUUUAGGAGCUAGCCGUUGAAGGUGGACAAG
Molecule: ribosomal RNA, 1444 nt
Filed under: Mammaliicoccus sciuri
Lineage: Bacteria; Bacillati; Bacillota; Bacilli; Caryophanales; Staphylococcaceae
Description: bacterial SSU rRNA
Rfam family: Bacterial small subunit ribosomal RNA
Source: RNAcentral